CGCCGGCCGGCCGUCCCCAGCGCAGGCCCUGGACGCCACCGCCGCCCCACCCGCGCCCGCGCCCGCCCCUCCCGCCGGCCGGAGGGAGGGACCUGGUUCUCCUAGGAAGUUUCAGAAAUAGAUUUAUUGGGCUCAGAUGCAGAUGCUUUUUCAGAUUGAAUGUCAUCUUCUCUAGUCGUUACAUUCCAGAGCAGGAAGUAGACUCUAUAGGAGCCUGCUUAUCCCCAGGUUGAAUUGCUAGCCAUCUAAGUUACUCAAGUGAGAAACUGAGUCAUUCGUCUUCCUUUACAAAAUUACUUAAAUUCUGUUCACUUCUCUCCAUCUUCAAUGCCACUGCCAUGGACCACAGUCUAUGAGGAAUGCUUGAAUUAGAAGACAGGGAGAGAAGUUUGAACCUCAAUGUAAAAAAAGACCUUAUACACAUAUAUUUAGUAUUAAUUCCAAAUUUAAUAAUAUAAACAGAUAGAGAUUCACAACAUCAAUUAAAACUUCUUUCAACUUUGUGCUUUUUAUUGGCAGGCAACAACUUUAUAUUCCUUGGUAUCACUAAACUGUGUAUAAUUAGAGACACAGCAUUCUAGAAAAGCAGGCAACAGAAUUAAACUGAGCAAACUUAAGGGAAGGUCAGUCUUCAUUAUGUUACCCGUUUUUCAUUAUGUGUACACUGAAGCACAAAUGCAAUUUGAAGUCGUUUUUUGUUUGUUUUUGUUAUUAAAUAUAUUUUGAUUGAUUUCAGAGAAAAAAGGGAGAGGGAGAGAGAGAAACAUCAAUGAUGAGAGAGAAUCAUUGAUUAGUUG
Long non-coding RNA from Pipistrellus kuhlii (Kuhl's pipistrelle), 797 nucleotides. RefSeq lists it as uncharacterized. NCBI's taxonomy places the organism in Eukaryota, Metazoa, Chordata, Mammalia, Chiroptera, Vespertilionidae. The transcript is spliced from 3 exons. The record is from RefSeq and is a predicted model, not a curated record.